Molecule: long non-coding RNA, 217 nt
Filed under: Amborella trichopoda
Lineage: Eukaryota; Viridiplantae; Streptophyta; Magnoliopsida; Amborellales; Amborellaceae
Description: long non-coding RNA (ATRI_LNC005296)
Source: RNAcentral
CCUAAUAACAUUCUAACAGAUUCAACGAAUAUCUCCUCCCAUUUUCCGAUUCUAAAGUUGAUAUAACAAACUCGCUCCUCCGAAACACUAAAGCCGCCAUGGUUGUUGCUAUCAGAGGAAGGGGUCGCAGCCGGAGCACCACCACCACCUCCGUUCCGUUGCUGCUGCCGGUGCUCUUCCUCAAGUGUGUCAUCCAGCUCCUCCUGCAGCGCGCGCC